CCUACGGGAGGCAGCAGUAGGGAAUAUUGCUCAAUGGGGGCAACCCUGAAGCAGCAACGCCGCGUGGAGGAUGAAGGUUUUCGGAUUGUAAACUCCUUUUGUUAGAGAAGAUAAUGACGGUAUCUAACGAAUAAGCACCGGCUAACUCCGUGCCAGCAGCCGCGGUCAUACGAAGGGUGCAAGCGUUACUCGGAAUCACUGGGCGUAAAGAGCGCGUAGGCGGGAUAGCAAGUCAGAUGUGAAAUCCUAUGGCUUAACCAUAGAACUGCAUUUGAGACUGUUCUUCUAGAGUAUGGGAGAGGGAGGUGGAAUUCUUGGUGUAGGAGUAAAAUGCGUAGAGAUCAAGAGGAAUACUCAUGGCGAAGGCGACCUGCUAGAACAUAACUGACGCUGAUGCGCGAAAGCGUGGGGAGCAAACAGGAUUAGAUACCCGGGUAGUC
RNAcentral lists this ribosomal RNA (440 nucleotides) under uncultured bacterium. RNAcentral's name for it is "partial 16S ribosomal RNA". It matches the Rfam family "Bacterial small subunit ribosomal RNA", at positions 338 to 795 of the family's 1533-position model. The record is from RNAcentral.